Zingiber officinale is the source of this 198-nucleotide long non-coding RNA. RefSeq lists it as uncharacterized. The transcript has 3 exons. NCBI's taxonomy places the organism in Eukaryota, Viridiplantae, Streptophyta, Magnoliopsida, Zingiberales, Zingiberaceae. The record is from RefSeq and is a predicted model, not a curated record.
AACUUGCUGGAGUUGCCAACAAAGAGGGGAAGAGAACCCUAAUUGCUGCCCUCAUUUCCAGCAGCCACACAAAACCCUUAGAAGAUCCGAGCUCGAGUGGAGCACGGUGACCUGCCGAUACUCGGAGAUUUUGCUGUAUAUAAGUUUUGCAGACACAGGGAUCCUUUUGAUAUUAUAGUUGAUUUUGGACUUUCAUAG